This 2645-nucleotide ribosomal RNA is filed under the name Fidelibacterota bacterium SCGC AAA003-L08. RNAcentral describes it as "bacterial LSU rRNA". It matches the Rfam family "Bacterial large subunit ribosomal RNA", at positions 3 to 2245 of the family's 2925-position model. Lineage: Bacteria; Pseudomonadati; Fidelibacterota. The record is from RNAcentral.
UUAAGUUAUGAAGGGCAUAUAGUGGAUGCCUUGGCAUAUGAAGACGAUGAAGGACGUGGUAAGCUGCGAUAAGCUUCGGUGAGGUGCAAACAACCGUUUAACCGGAGAUUUCCGAAUGGGACAACCCAUUCUAAUUAAUAUUAGAAUACUGCUACUUGAAUAUAUAGAGUAGCAAGAGCUAACGCAGGGAAGUGAAACAUCUCAGUACCUGCAGGAAAAGAAAACAAUAGUGAUUUCCUUAGUAGCGGCGAGCGAAAAGGAAUGUAGCCUAAACCGAUACAGUGUCAUGUCUGCAACUUAGCUGUAUUGGGGUCGUGGGAUAUAAUUGGAAGAUUUAGCAGGAUCUUCGACAAGUCAAAAAAUACCUAAUUAGGAGAAUGAAUCAGGAAAGUUUCAGCCAUAGAAGGUGAUAGCCCUGUAUCCGAAAAUUAAGUAUCUUGUUGGAUUAUAUUCCCAAGUAGGACGGGACACGAGAAACCCCGUUCGAAUCUGCCGGGACCACCCGGUAAGGCUAAAUACUCUCAUAUGACCGAUAGUGGAAAGUACCGUGAGGGAAAGGUGAAAAGUACCCCGGGAGGGGAGUGAAAUAGAACCUGAAACUGUAUGUCUACAAGCUGUCGAACCUCGUAAGAGGAACGGCGUGCCUUUUGCAUAAUGAGCCAGCAAGUUACUCGUAUCUAGCAAGGUUAAAUUAAAAAAUAUGGAGCCGUAGGGAAACCGAGUCUGAAUAGGGCGUUUAGUUAGGUGCGGUAGACGCGAAACCGAGUGAUCUUACUAUGACCAGGUUGAAGCAUUAGUAAAAUAAUGUGGAGGACCGAACCCACUUGGGUUGAAAACCGAGGGGAUGAGUUGUGGUAAGGGGUGAAAGGCCAAUCAAACUCGGUGAUAUCUCGUUCUCUCCGAAAUGCAUCUAGGUGCAGCGUUGUGAUAUAGUAUCGUGGAGGUAGAGCACUGAAUGGGCUAGGGUUCUUAUUGAAUACCGAUCCCAAUCAAACUCCGAAUGCCAUUGAUAUGUUUUGCAGCAGUGAGGCAGUGGGUGAUAAGAUUCAUUGCCGAGAGGGAAACAACCCAGACCUACAGCUAAGGUCCCUAAAUUUUUACUAAGUGAUAAAGGAUGUGAAUUAGCACAGACAGCUAGGAGGUUGGCUUAGAAGCAGCCAUUCCUUUAAAGAAAGCGUAACAGCUCACUAGUCAAGGUGAUUCGCGCCGAUAAUAACCGGGACUCAAGUAAAAUACCGAAGCUUAGGAUUUCUAUUUAUAGAAGUGGUAGGAGAGCGUUCCAUCAACCGUCGAAGGUUGACCCGUGAGGGCAGCUGGAGGGAAUGGAAAUGAGGAUGCUGGCAUGAGUACACGAUAAAAUACGUGAAAUUCGUAUUCACCGAAAGCCCAAGGUUUCCUGAUCAACGUAAAUCGGAUCAGGGUUAGUCGGCCCCUAAGAUAAGACCGAAAGGUGUAGUCGAUGGGAAUCAGGCAAAUCAAAAUAUUCCUGAACCUCCGACCCUUAAACUAAGACACCCAUUUUCCAGACUUUACUAGCUUAUUGAUUUGUUAGUAAAGAGUAAGAAGUGGCAAGAAAAAGCUUAGUGUAUGCUAAGGAGACCGUACCGUAAACCGACACAGGUAGGCGAGAUGAAAAUUCUAAGGUGCUUGAGAUAAUUCUGGUUAAGGAACUCGGCAAAAUAGCCCCGUAACUUCGGGAGAAGGGGUGCCUCUCUUUUGAGAGGCCGCAGUGAAAUGAGGGUAGCGACUGUUUACUAAAAACAUAGGUCUAUGCUAACACGUAAGUGGAAAUAUAUGGACUGACACCUGCCCGGUGCUGGAAGGUUAAAUGAGCUUGUUAUUUUCUUCGGAAAAGAAGCUCGCGAAUGAAGCCCCAGUAAACGGCGGCCGUAACUAUAACGGUCCUAAGGUAGCGAAAUUCCUUGUCGGGUAAGUUCCGACCUGCACGAAUGGUGUAACGACUUCCCUACUGUCUCGACCAGAAACUCAGUGAAAUUGUAAUGUCGGUGAAGAUGCCGGCUAACCGUGGAAGGACGGAAAGACCCCGUGAACCUUUACUAUAGCUUGAUAUUGGUUUUUAAUUCUAUAUGUGUAGGAUAGGUGGGAGACUUUGAAGCGGGCACGCUAGUGUUCGUGGAGUCACCCUUGAAAUACCACCCUUAUAUUGUUGAAAAUCUAACCAUUAUAAACAGUUCCAUAACCACAAUCAAAGUCAUAUGGGUCAGAACCAUCAAUUACUGUCCAUGUAGCGCCUUCAUCAGUUGAAAUUUGAACAUUUGCCUGAUCCCAACCAUCUGUACAUGUACCUGCAACAGAUGCACCUGCAGGAUCUUCAAUUGUCCAGCGCAUAUCAGCAGACAUACUGCCUUCAGCUGGAACCGUAAAACUAGGAGUAUCUAAGUAUUGAACCCAGCUAUCAAGAUAUCCACCAACUUCUUCAUCUCCACACCACCAAUUGUUAUUACCAAUACUUAUAGGCAUAAAAUCUGAUGUGUGCCACGCUAAAGCUGUAGGAUCCAUAAGUGAUAUUCCAUAAUAAUCAGCUAAGUAUUGAGAUUCAUCAUCUGUAGUAGCAGGAUCAUCUUCCUGAAUAAAAUCAGGCAUGUCUGCAUAUAACCAAAAUUUAAAAUGCAUGAUUUCACCAU